UCCGAGACAGUGCCCAGA
This 18-nucleotide small nuclear RNA is filed under the name Arabidopsis thaliana (thale cress). RNAcentral's name for it is "snRNA_05529". The record is from RNAcentral. Lineage: Eukaryota; Viridiplantae; Streptophyta; Magnoliopsida; Brassicales; Brassicaceae.